GGGGUUUAGAAUGUGUUUUAAGCUAUUAAAUGCAUCAAGAUGUUGAAAUAAUGGUAAUCUCCUUCGGAGUUCGGUAUUUUUAUGAUUUUACUUUUUGGAAUCUGCUUCCCGUUUUUUAUCUUUAGUGCAGUUUUUAUUAACAUUGUAUCACAUAUUUUACAGAUGUAGCAUCUAUAUGUAUAUAUAACAAGAAAGGUAGACGGGUCAACAUUCGGAAUCAACACAAAUAAAAAAGCAACAAGAUUAAAUAUGGAUAUAUAAUUUACUUUGUCU
RNAcentral lists this long non-coding RNA (273 nucleotides) under Mytilus galloprovincialis (Mediterranean mussel). The record is from RNAcentral. Lineage: Eukaryota; Metazoa; Mollusca; Bivalvia; Mytilida; Mytilidae.